UUUAUGGAGAGUUUGAUCCUGGCUCAGAGUGAACGCUGGCGGCGUGCCUAAUACAUGCAAGUCGAACGAUGAAGCUUCUAGCUUGCUAGAAUGCUGAUUAGUGGCGYACGGGUGAGUAACGCAUAGGUCAUGUGCCUCUUAGUUUGGGAUAGCCAUUGGAAACGAUGAUUAAUACCAGAUACUCCCUACGGGGGAAAGAUUUAUCGCUAAGAGAUCAGCCUAUGUCCUAUCAGCUUGUUGGUAAGGUAAUGGCUUACCAAGGCUAUGACGGGUAUCCGGCCUGAGAGGGUGAACGGACACACUGGAACUGAGACACGGUCCAGACUCCUACGGGAGGCAGCAGUAGGGAAUAUUGCUCAAUGGGGGAAACCCUGAAGCAGCAACGCCGCGUGGAGGAUGAAGGUUUUAGGAUUGUAAACUCCUUUUGUUAGAGAAGAUAAUGACGGUAUCUAACGAAUAAGCACCGGCUAACUCCGUGCCAGCAGCCGCGGUAAUACGGAGGGUGCAAGCGUUACUCGGAAUCACUGGGCGUAAAGAGCGCGUAGGCGGGAUAGUCAGUCAGGUGUGAAAUCCUAUGGCUUAACCAUAGAACUGCAUUUGAAACUACUAUUCUAGAGUGUGGGAGAGGUAGGUGGAAUUCUUGGUGUAGGGGUAAAAUCCGUAGAGAUCAAGAGGAAUACUCAUUGCGAAGGCGACCUGCUGGAACAUUACUGACGCUGAUUGCGCGAAAGCGUGGGGAGCAAACAGGAUUAGAUACCCUGGUAGUCCACGCCCUAAACGAUGGAUGCUAGUUGUUGGAGGGCUUAGUCUCUCCAGUAAUGCAGCUAACGCAUUAAGCAUCCCGCCUGGGGAGUACGGUCGCAAGAUUAAAACUCAAAGGAAUAGACGGGGACCCGCACAAGCGGUGGAGCAUGUGGUUUAAUUCGAAGAUACACGAAGAACCUUACCUAGGCUUGACAUUGAGAGAAUCCGCUAGAAAUAGUGGAGUGUCUGGCUUGCUAGACCUUGAAAACAGGUGCUGCACGGCUGUCGUCAGCUCGUGUCGUGAGAUGUUGGGUUAAGUCCCGCAACGAGCGCAACCCCCUUUCUUAGUUGCUAACAGGUUAUGCUGAGAACUCUAAGGAUACUGCCUCCGUAAGGAGGAGGAAGGUGGGGACGACGUCAAGUCAUCAUGGCCCUUACGCCUAGGGCUACACACGUGCUACAAUGGGGUGUACAAAGAGAAGCAAUACUGCGAAGUGGAGCCAAUCUUCAAAACGCCUCUCAGUUCGGAUUGUAGGCUGCAACUCGCCUGCAUGAAGCUGGAAUCGCUAGUAAUCGCAAAUCAGCCAUGUUGCGGUGAAUACGUUCCCGGGUCUUGUACUCACCGCCCGUCACACCAUGGGAGUUGUGUUUGCCUUAAGUCAGGAUGCUAAACUAGCUACUGCCCACGGCACACACAGCGACUGGGGUGAAGUCGUAACAAGGUAACCGUAGGUGAACCUGCGGUUGGAUCACCUCCUUUCUAGA
Molecule: ribosomal RNA, 1509 nt
Filed under: Helicobacter pylori
Lineage: Bacteria; Pseudomonadati; Campylobacterota; Epsilonproteobacteria; Campylobacterales; Helicobacteraceae
Description: bacterial SSU rRNA
Rfam family: Bacterial small subunit ribosomal RNA
Source: RNAcentral